GCGUAACCGAAGGAGCUCCCUUCGUCCAAAACGAGGAGGACAAGAUUUAAGGAAAUAAAAAUCUAAUUGUUCAUGGAUUCCCUCAUUAAGUGCUUGAAUAAUGAGCACUUUUACUGGGGUUUGCAUGGCCUCUUAGAUCUUCUCUCUUUCUCUACGUAUAUAUAUAUAUAUCCUUCUCUUCUCUUCGUUUGGAUUGAAGGGAGCUCCUGUUCCUUUUCUC
This 220-nucleotide microRNA precursor is filed under the name Brassica napus (rape). RNAcentral's name for it is "pre miRNA MIR159". It matches the Rfam family "MIR159 microRNA precursor family". Lineage: Eukaryota; Viridiplantae; Streptophyta; Magnoliopsida; Brassicales; Brassicaceae. The record is from RNAcentral.